GUCCUCCGGAGACAUCCGAUAAAAUUAAAACAAUACAUAAAAUAUUAGCAUGGCCUUGCGUAAAGAUGACAUACAUAAAUCGAAAAAUAAUCCAAAUUUUG
This is a non-coding RNA of Arabis alpina (gray rockcress), 101 nucleotides long. The record is from Rfam. NCBI's taxonomy places the organism in Eukaryota, Viridiplantae, Streptophyta, Magnoliopsida, Brassicales, Brassicaceae.